GCCCCUAUAGUUUAAUAAAAAUUUUAAUUUUGUAAAUUAAAGAUGUCACCUAAGGGUA
RNAcentral lists this transfer RNA (58 nucleotides) under Proasellus aragonensis. RNAcentral describes it as "transfert RNA-T(ACA)". Lineage: Eukaryota; Metazoa; Arthropoda; Malacostraca; Isopoda; Asellidae. The record is from RNAcentral.